AUGAGGUGACUGAAUCGGAAAAAAAAAAAAAAAACCUUAAAUUUGGUGAAAGAACUAGAUGCCUUUCCAAAGGUUCCCGAAAGCUAUGUAGAGACCUCAGCCAGUGGGGGCACAGUUUCUCUGAUAGCAUUUACUACUAUGGCUUUACUAACAAUAAUGGAAUUCUCAGUAUAUCAAGAUACAUGGAUGAAAUAUGAAUAUGAAGUAGACAAAGAUUUUUCUAGUAAAUUGAGAAUCAAUAUAGAUAUUACUGUUGCCAUGAAGUGCCAGUAUGUUGGAGCAGAUGUAUUGGAUUUAGCAGAAACAAUGGUUGCUUCUGCAGAUGGUCUUAUUUAUGAACCAGUAAUAUUUGAACUUUCACCAGAGCAAAAAGAGUGGCAGAGGAUGCUACAGCUGAUUCAGAGCAGGCUACAAGAAGAGUAUUCUCUUUAGGAUGUGAUAUUCAAACUUGCUUUCAAAAGCUCAUCCACUGCACUUCCACCCAGGGAAGACGACUUGUCGCAGUCUCCAGACCCAUGCAGAAUACGCGGCCAUCUCAACGUUAAUAAAGUAGCAGGGAAUUUUCACAUAACUGUGGGCAAGGCAAUUCCACAUCCUCGAGGACAGGCGCACUUGGCAGCACUGGUCAACCAUGACUCCUACGACUUUUCUCACAGACUAGAUCACCUGUCUUUUGGAGAGGUUGUUUCAGGAAUCAUUAAUCCUCUGGAUGGAACUGAAAAAAUUGCUGUAGAUCACAACCAGAUGUUCCAAUAUUUUAUUACAGUUGUGCCAACAAAACUCCAGACAUAUAAAAUUUCAGCAGAAACACAUCAGUUUUCUGUCACAGAAAGGGAGCGUAUCAUCAACCAUGCUGUGGGCAGCCAUGGAGUUUCUGGAAUCUUCAUGAAAUACGAUCUCAGCUCUCUCAUGGUGACUGUCACUGAGGCGCAUAUGCCAUUCUGGCAGUUUUUUGUAAGACUCUGCGGUAUUGUUGGAGGAAUCUUCUCAACAACAGGCAUGUUACAUGGAAUGGAAAAUUUAUAGUGGAGAUAAUUUGCUGUCGUUUCAGUCUUGGAUCCUGUAAAGCUGUCCAUUCGGUUCCCUUUGAGGAUGACCACACAGACAACCACUUACCUCUUUUAGAAAAUAAUAUGCAUUAGCACCUCCCGAGGGGA
This is an RNA transcript of Perognathus longimembris pacificus (Pacific pocket mouse), 1157 nucleotides long. It is a transcript of the gene named endoplasmic reticulum-Golgi intermediate compartment protein 2-like, with no coding region annotated. The transcript has a single exon. The record is from RefSeq and is a predicted model, not a curated record. Lineage: Eukaryota; Metazoa; Chordata; Mammalia; Rodentia; Heteromyidae.